GGUGAACGCUGGCGGCGUGCCUAAUACAUGCAAGUCGAGCGAACGGACGAGAAGCUUGCUUCUCUGAUGUUAGCGGCGGACGGGUGAGUAACACGUGGAUAACCUACCUAUAAGACUGGGAUAACUUCGGGAAACCGGAGCUAAUACCGGAUAAUAUUUUGAACCGCAUGGUUCAAAAGUAAAAGACGGUCUUGCUGUCACUUAUAGAUGGAUCCGCGCUGCAUUAGCUAGUUGGUAAGGUAACGGCUUACCAAGGCAACGAUGCAUAGCCGACCUGAGAGGGUGAUCGGCCACACUGGAACUGAGACACGGUCCAGACUACUACGGGAGGCAGCAGUAGGGAAUCUUCCGCAAUGGGCGAAAGCCUGACGGAGCAACGCCGCGUGAGUGAUGAAGGUCUUCGGAUCGUAAAACUCUGUUAUUAGGGAAGAACAUAUGUGUAAGUAACUGUGCACAUCUUGACGGUACCUAAUCAGAAAGCCACGGCUAACUACGUG
This 497-nucleotide ribosomal RNA is filed under the name uncultured bacterium. RNAcentral describes it as "partial 16S ribosomal RNA". It matches the Rfam family "Bacterial small subunit ribosomal RNA", at positions 28 to 507 of the family's 1533-position model. The record is from RNAcentral.